GAGGGUAUAGCUCAGUGGUAGAGUGCUUGCCUAGCAUGCAUGAAUGAGGUCCUGGGUUCAAUCCUCAGUACUGCCA
This 76-nucleotide transfer RNA is filed under the name Camelus bactrianus (Bactrian camel). It matches the Rfam family "tRNA". Rfam says of the family: Transfer RNA (tRNA) molecules are approximately 80 nucleotides in length. Their secondary structure includes four short double-helical elements and three loops (D, anti-codon, and T loops). Further hydrogen bonds mediate the characteristic L-shaped molecular structure. tRNAs have two regions of fundamental functional importance: the anti-codon, which is responsible for specific mRNA codon recognition, and the 3' end, to which the tRNAs corresponding amino acid is attached (by aminoacyl-tRNA synthetases). tRNAs cope with the degeneracy of the genetic code in two manners: having more than one tRNA (with a specific anti-codon) for a particular amino acid; and 'wobble' base-pairing, i.e. permitting non-standard base-pairing at the 3rd anti-codon position. Lineage: Eukaryota; Metazoa; Chordata; Mammalia; Artiodactyla; Camelidae. RNAcentral also lists the same sequence under 2 other names. The record is from Rfam by way of RNAcentral.